AUUGAACGCUGGCGGCAUGCUUUACACAUGCAAGUCGAACGGUAACAGGCCUUCGGGUGCUGACGAGUGGCGGACGGGGGCGUAAUGCAUCGGAACGUACCCAGAGGUGGGGGAUAACGCAGCGAAAGCUGUGCUAAUACAGCAUGUGAUCUGAGGAUGAAAGCGGGGGACCGAGCAGCAAUGUUUGGCCUCGCGCCUUUGGAGCGGCCGAUGUCGGAUUAGCUAGUUGGCGGGGUAAAGGCCUACCAAGGCGACGAUCCGUAGCUGGUCUGAGAGGACGACCAGCCACACUGGGACUGAGACACGGCCCAGACUCCUACGGGAGGCAGCAGUGGGGAAUUUUGGACAAUGGGCGCAAGCCUGAUCCAGCAAUGCCGCGUGCGGGAAGAAGGCCUUCGGGUUGUAAACCGCUUUUGGCAGGAACGAAACGGUGUCCGCUAAUACCGGGCGCUAAUGACGGUACCUGCAGAAUAAGCACCGGCUAACUACGUG
Molecule: ribosomal RNA, 492 nt
Filed under: uncultured bacterium
Lineage: Bacteria
Description: partial 16S ribosomal RNA
Rfam family: Bacterial small subunit ribosomal RNA
Source: RNAcentral